CGGCCUUGAGAUUUCGCAGCCUGG
RNAcentral lists this non-coding RNA (24 nucleotides) under Arabidopsis thaliana (thale cress). Lineage: Eukaryota; Viridiplantae; Streptophyta; Magnoliopsida; Brassicales; Brassicaceae. The record is from RNAcentral.